CUGUUCCUGCUCCGGCUCCUGCGGGGAUGGAUGCUUCACGCAGUAAGCGAGCCAGCCUCGGACCCAGCAGCAUCCUGCCCAGGGGGCACCCCCACCUCCCUGGAUGCCAGCCAGAGCUGGAGAAUAUUCACGACCCAGAGGAGGGCCUGGACUCCAGAGAAGGGACCCCCUUUCACAGUGCACUCUGUGUCUGUGUGGAUCUGAUUUCAUGUCUAGUGACCACUAUUUUUAUCCUCCCAAUUCCUAGGACACCUUACCUGGAUCCGCCUUUGUAGCCUCCUCCUGGCUCUGGGGGCUGUCCUGUGGGGUCCGAGUAGCUGAAAGACAGCCCCUCCAUGUGAGGAAGCCCCCAACUGGGGAAAACCCCCUCGUGGACUCAUUCCUGUCCCUGCAUGUGGCCUUCACCUGACUGUCUGCAUUGAGGCAUCCUCUGCCAAGAGCAAUUUCAAAGUGGCAGGUCUUGGGAGAUGGGGUGCUGUAUUUGGGAGUAGGGGCGGGGAAGGGUUGAGGUGCCCUGGGAAAACUGGAGGAAGACAUUUUUAAUGCUCUUAUGAGGCUGGGAGCAGAGGCCAAGAGGGGCAGAGCAGAGCAGGGGUGAGGAGAAUGAGGCACUGGCCUGGGCACAGAAUUGAAGGGGCACCAAAAAUCGCAAUCAUCAAGGGAAAUCGUAUUUUAAUGCCAUAUUUUAAAACUCAAAA
This 698-nucleotide long non-coding RNA is filed under the name Homo sapiens (human). RNAcentral describes it as "novel transcript". Lineage: Eukaryota; Metazoa; Chordata; Mammalia; Primates; Hominidae. The record is from RNAcentral.